UUUAUUUUUAGCCCUGUCUUUAAACAUCAAACAAACCCCAGAUUUAUCUUGUGACCCCUUAGAGGGGGCUCGGCCCCUAGGUUGGGAGCCACUGGACUAAACUACUGAAUUGUAUAAUUAAACCAGCUCGACCCACCUUGACCAGCUAGAAUAGUAAAAUGCUAUUUACACAGUGAUGCAGUAUUAAUCUAAUAAUGUAACAUACAAUAAUAUAUUACUAUCUUGGAUUUUGUUGAUAAUCCUCCUGUACUUUUACUAAAGUUAGAUUUCGAAUGCAGGAAUUCUCCUUGUAAUGGAGUAUUUUUAGAUCAUUGUACUGGUACUUUGACCUAAGUAAAGAAUCAGAAUACAUCUUCCACCACUGAUUUCAAGUAUACUCUUGAAAAAAAUAAGCCUCCUUAGUCUAACUCAUUGACUGGCCUCAGGGAAACCGAGGUACAAACAUUGUGUCAUUUCUGCAACAACACCCCUAGAGGGCAGUAAUGUCUUUUUCUUCAUUUUUCCUCAUCACUGAACAAACACAGUUCCAAAUAAAACUGAACAUCUAUCUCCAUUAUUUUAAUCUUCACUUCAAGCCAAACAACUAAUACCCAGUCACUGCUACAGUAUGCUAAAGAAGCAACUCAACCUUUCAAAGACUCACUGCAGGGCUUCUCAGGUGAUGACAGAAAACCCUCACCGGCUGAUAUCAGAGCAGGAGUUGUGUAGAGAGAGAGAGAGUGUAAAAAGCUGAACACCUCCUAAUAACGGGGUGUGGUCCGGUGCCAGGGCAGUCCUCUUGGAUUAGCAGCAAGUCCCACAGCGCUUGUCUCCUAAUUACAAGCUUGUAAGCACAUGCAAGCCUGUAUGACUGCUCAACCAUGCUCCUGUGGGCAUGCUUCCCUAACAAACAACACACACCCACUCCUCCCUAACAACAAUAACAACGUUGUGGCAGCAGUGGCCACCUGCAGCAGGCCUGUGUUCCCGCUGCCUGUGUCCUUGGUUGCGCUCCUCCAUCCCGUCUGCCUCUCCCUAUUUGCCCUGGUUUCUGCAGAGCGAGCUGCAGAGUGCUGCACUGCAUCGCUGGAUCAAAGCAAGACUAAUGACUACAGCAGAGAUGUAGCUACAGCACAGAGGCCCCAAGUGUUCCCGCUCGCAAUGCAGAGCUGUAGUUAAACUACAAGUGGACUAAAGAUAGCAGAUAGCACUAGACAAGACGGCAACUACCUCUGAAAAAAACUGUCCAGGUGUCGAUGUGACAGGGAGCAUAUACCGUACACUUAAAGGGAGGAAAAAGCUGAAGAUACCAGGAGGCAUUUGAAAAUGUCCUCCACAAUGCCCGUGGCUACAAAGACUCUGGAUGUCCUAAGAAUAACAACAAAGAGCCCUCUGAUCGAUUCAUGGCAUUUUGUGUCAGCGCAGUCGCUAAAAUUAGCUCUUCAGAUCAUUUUCUGACUAAAUACCUUGUGAACAAUGUGAUGUGAGGGGAAAAAAGCUGCAAUAAAUUUGAUAAACACCUCUCACAUAUUUUCAGCUGCUUCUUUUGCACUUGAUGCCAACAAAAAUCACAUUAUGUUUAAACAAAAAAGUACAAUAAUGACACACAAUAAACACACACACAGUUUCAGUUGAAUUAUUAUUGGCUUCAUUAUUGAUACUACUUUGUCAGGGUUAUGAUCAUUUGGAAGGAUUAUAUGCAUUUUUAAUUUCACAUAUUUUUCACAGAUUGUCCUUUUUGACUUGUAAAGUGCAGAUAAUACUACGUUUUAAAUCCAGACUUCACAUACAGUAUAUAGUACAUGGUUCUUGCUCCAUCAUCCAUUGGUUAUUAUAUACAUUAGUCAGUCACAUUUCAUUUCAUAGAAAGAAAAUCCAUUAUCCACUGUACCAACAUUGAUGGAUUUUUUCAGGCCUCUAUGAUAUGGGGGAGGAUGGGGGGUGAACAACUGUACAUAUUGUCUCAGCGGAUGCCACACUAUCAGGCUCAGGGGUCAAACGAAAUGAAAACGUUCGUUCUCAAACACACACAUGCAUACAUAUUGCAUAUUGAUCAUCUUGUUUCCCGUAUGUAUGAGGUUUUUUUAUGUAGGAGCCUUGUCUCAAAGAGCUGACAUCGCAGUUUAAACAAACCCCAAAGCUCAGAAAGCUCAUAUUCACAUUCAGCUAACGUGUGAGUGUUUGACGUACAGCAGCAAAAUAUUGCAAAGUGUGUCUCUUCUGCCUAAAGGUUCGUUUCAAAUGCACUGCCAGCUCUCAACAUAAGUAAGUGGUGCCGGAAUAAAACACAAAAAUUCUGUACUUAAACCCUCUCAACUACCAGGUGAUAAUCAUUCUCUGCAUAGAUUUCUCAGUAUAUGCACUGUUGGGCACCCUUCUCAUGGAGUGGAUUUGCUGGUGGGUCCCUCAGCGGGUCAGAGAUGAUAUUCUUAGAGGCUGUGGUGCUCCUUAUAAAGCAAUACAAGAUCAUUUUAAUUGACUUUGUUUCCACUGAAUACAAACAUAUUACAGAUUAUAUCUGCAGGUGUACAGAUGAGGAUGAUUCUACUCGUCUUUGUGCUUUAAGCAGAAAUAACUGUCACAUUGUGAACUCCAGUAUACGAGUUGCUACAGUGAAUUUGGCUGAGGUACAAAAACGUGCCCAAUUUACAUAACAGAUAAAUGUUGCAAGUGUCUUUAACAUUUAUCCUAAAUAUCUGUCCCAAACAAUGUAAUGAAGACAAUAUGAUACAAUGCAUUUGCAUGCACAGACAAAUAUUUUUGGUCAGACUGUGAGUGUCCCCCCCCCCAGAUAUACAUAUAUGCAAAUAGCUGUUGCAUAAAUGCAGCUGUACAACCAGGCUAAGACACUGACAUUCAGUGGUUCUCUCUCUUUCUCUCUCUCUCUCACACACACACACACACACACACACGCAUGCACAACUCCUACAUAGCUGUGCAUCAACACCCACAUCAAUACUCAACUGAUGAUCAAUAAGAUCUUGGUUGGACUGUGGAGGUCCAUAAAGGUUGAUUCUUUUUUAAACAUCUAUGUUCUCCACAGAGACCCCUCCACAAAAUUAUGGCAAUAUUGCUAAACAACUAUUUAAUCUGGUCCUGCUUCAAGUUACUGACCAUUUUAACAUCUCAAUCCACCUUUAUGCUACUCUUGGGCAAGGAACAAACAUAACUGCUUAAGUGUAUUUGCUAAAUUCUCUAAAAAUUCUUUCAAGAUACAUGAAAGCAGACAUGGAUCGGGACAGAGAGACGACUUCAGAAGCCUCAUGUCAGGCAGUUGGGCGAGGCAUCCUGAGCACAUAUUGGCAGCGAUGGCGUAAAAACAUUUUGCUACUGCAGGUUAAAGACUGUAGUGAGCAGAGUAAAACCCUAAGAAUAAAGAUGUACAUCCUGGCAUGACUGAAUUCAUUUAGACACUUCUUGCUACAGACCUAAUCCAUCACCUUUCUAAUUACCUAAGACAUCAGUGAAAAGAUGAAGAAAGGCAUGAGACUCAGGAGUGAAGUCAGAGGACCCCUAGGUUAGCCAAUAUCUGCUACACUGCUGCUAAUUAUCACUUCCCAUAUUGACAUUACUGCCUUUGACUGUUACCUUGGCAGUGUUGAGCGAACGCUGGACACAAUCCUAGAAUCAGAACCUAAUUCACAUUUGAUGCCAACUUUUAAAGACAGAUUGAGCUUCUGGCAUCAAAGACUUCUCAGAGGACAGCCAGACUCCAUUUAAAUUCUGAACAAUUUAACGCCAAUAAAGAGUUUCCUGAUAUAAGAUUCUGGUUAGGGAUGAUACAGUUUUGAACAAUGCACUGCCUUUCAACAACUACUUCACAGAAGGCAGUUUUGAACUAAGUGAAGCAAACUAUUUUGUGUUUAAAUCCAGGAUGUGCGUGAGGUUUGCUGGAAAACUCACCAGUAAAGACAAUGCUUUUGAAAAGGCUAGUAAGAGUGUGUCUUUGGCACUCUGAACAGGCUCUGAAACUGGAGAACAUAGAAACAGUGCUCAGAACAAUUAUUAUUGUCAUUAAAAAUAAAAACAUGGCAAUGAUCUGCGCAUUCUGGAAAGGCUCUCACUUUCUCUUAAACAUUGCUAUUUAAAGUGUUUUAAUUCUCUGGUAAAAGUAUGUGUACUGUAUAUGUGCACUGUCCAUAUACAUAUAUUUAUAUAUAUAUAUAUAAGAAAUAAAUAUAUCUAUUGUAAUAAUUAGACUUUUUUGUCUCAGAGGAUUCUUCUUUUGAGUUUAAAUGCAUGCUUCUAGGAAUGUUUUUGAGGUCAUGCAACACUAGGAGAGUAGCGUAAACCCAGAUAAAAGGCAGUUCAGGGGGAAGCAUUAUUCUAUACACGAGUCCUUAAAAGUUGCUAUUUUGAUCAUGAGGACGUGAUCAUGUGACAAACCUGUGAAAAAGACAGCACUGCAAGUCUAUCACAUCUGCAACUGGGAUUAAUGUCCAAAACUAGAGUGUGAGUUUACGCCUGAAGUCACAGCUCAGCUGCGGUACGUUUACAGUGACCUGGCAAAAGUUUUAUCUGCAAUGACUUCUACAUGGAAUGUUAAUAUUGAUAAGGACACCGCAUCCUGUUAAGUGUAGGAUUUGGCCUUAUAAUUAUUCCUUAAGAAGUCGUCUAACAUACAGCUUUAGGAUCUUGUAACAGCUACCUGCAAGCAUCCUUUUAGAAGUGUGGAUUUGUAUAGAAGGCAGUGUACAGACAAAUAUACAGUGGUGUGAUGAAGCAAGUGGUAGUCGAGAAACAAGUGGAAAUUCUCAUUCAGAUAAAAAUGCCAUGCAAUAAUCUACUGUCUAUGUUUUCUACUAACAGCACCUACCUACCUACCGGCUAUCAGUUAGGUCACAGUUAGCCUACUUAUCUAUAUGAAUAAGUACUGUGUGUGUGUGUGUGUGUGUGUGUGUGUGUGAAACUGUGAAAAACAAACAAAACAAGAAGAAACAUUCAAGUUGUCCUCAAAGCUCUGCAGUAAGACCAGUUUUGGGUGAAUGGAAGGGGGAAAGCUUGCAUUGCUAUACAUACAGUCAUACAUGUAAGACCAAAGCAGUGAAAAGUCAAGGCCAUUCUCAGUCAUUCAUCAGAUACUGAUGCCUGCUGGGAAAAAAGGUGUCGAACCAUAAGCUUAGCGCUAAUGGCUGUCAUUCAUCCUUGAAAUAACGUGGUGUACUUAACCACCAACCUCGUCACAAGUCACCCACAGGCCAUAUCAGCGCAGCAGUGGGCUUGCUUUAUGCUUACACAUCCUCUUAUUUCUAAAUGGUGUAGCAUAAGACAGUUUUGUUUCAUUGGCUCCAGGAAGCAGCAUAUAUAGCACGCAAGUAUAAGCGCAUGGCAGAGCAGUGUGUCUUGGGAAAUGAGUGACCAAGGGACAGGGGACUAAAGCAGGGCUUGUGUUGUGUUGCUUUUUUUUUGUUUUGAAAGCCAUAAAUAUUUUUUUUUCUUGCUGUGUUUCUCCCUUUUUUCUUUUCUUUUUGUGCACUACUGUUGGCUACUAUUUUGAGCAGGGAAUUUUUAGGUAUUCUUAUAUCUUUUUUUAAAACAGCCACACAGACAAAGCCAACUCCAUGCAGAAAUGCAAAAUUUGAAAUUUCACUCUGUUUGACAGUUAUCAGGAGUUUUAAGGGCAAGUUGUGAGGAGUGAAGACAGGAUGAGCGCGGAGUGAGUGGAUGGUCUUUGUAAUAUUUUUUUUUCACUGUCUAUCAUCAUCAUCAUCAACAUCCUGAAUUCUAUUGCCUUGAUUUUUCCAGCACGUGUGAGGUGGUAGGCUGU
Molecule: long non-coding RNA, 5746 nt
Organism: Siniperca chuatsi (mandarin fish)
Lineage: Eukaryota; Metazoa; Chordata; Actinopteri; Centrarchiformes; Sinipercidae
Exons: 2
Source: RefSeq, a predicted model, not a curated record